This 1343-nucleotide ribosomal RNA is filed under the name uncultured bacterium. RNAcentral describes it as "partial 16S ribosomal RNA". It matches the Rfam family "Bacterial small subunit ribosomal RNA", at positions 34 to 1366 of the family's 1533-position model. The record is from RNAcentral.
CGCUGGCGGCUGCCUAUACAUGUAAGUCGAACGGUAACAGAGAGUAUCUUGCUACUUUGCUGACUAGUGGCGGACGGGUGAAUAAUGUCUGGGGAUCUGCCUGAUGGAGGGGGAUAACUACUGGAAACGGUAGCUAAUACCGCAUAAUGUCGCAAGACCAAAGCGGGGGACUUUCGGGCCUCGCACCAUCAUAUGAACCCAGAUGGGAUUAUCUAGUAUGUAAGGUAAUGGCUUACCUAGGCCACUAUCCCUAUCUGGUCUGAGAAGAUGACCCCCCACUCUGGAACUGACACACGGUCCACACUCCUACGGGAGGCAGCUGUGGAGAAUAUUGCACAGUGGGCGCAAGCCUGAUGCAGCCGUGCCGCGUGUAUGAAAAAGGCCUUCGGGUUGUAAAGUACUUUCACUCAAGAAGAAGGGUGUGAAAUUAAUACUUUCAUGCAUUGACGUUACUGACAGAAGACGCACCGGCUAACUCCGUGCCAGCAGCCGCUGUAAUACAGAGGGUGCAAGCGUUUAUCAGAUUUACUGGGCGUAAAGCGCACACACGCUGUUGUGUUAACUCAUAUGUGAAAUCCCCGGGCUCACCCUGAGAACUGCAUUUGACACUGGCAGCUAGACUCUUGUAGAGGGGGGUAGAACUCCGUGUGUAGCUGUGAAAUGCAUAGAGAUCUGGAGGAAUACCCGGUGGCGAGGGCGGCCCCCCCGGACAAAGAGUGACGCUCAGGUGUGAAAGAGUGGGGAGCAAACAGGAUUAGAUACCCCGGUAGUCCACGCCGUAAAAGAUGUGGACUUGGAGGCUGUUCCCCUGAGGAGUGGCUUCUGGAGAUAACGCGUUAAGUCGACCGCGCGGGGAGUACGGCCGCAAGGUUAAAACUCAAAUGAAUUGACGGGGGCCCGCACAAGCGGUGGAGCAUGUGGUUUAAUUUGAUGCAACGCGAAGAACCUUACCUAUUCUUGACAUCCAGAGAAUUUAGCAGAGAUGCUUUAGUGCCUUUGGGAACUCUGAGACAGGUGUUGCAUGGCGGUGGUCAGCUCGUGUUGUGAAAUGUUGGGUUAAGUCCCGCAAAGAGAGCAACCCUUAUCUUUUGUUGCCAGCACGUAAUGGUGGGAAAUCAAAGGAGACAGCCGGUGAUAAACCGGAGGAAGGUGGGGAGGAGGUCAAGUCAUCAUGGCCCCUAUGAGUAGGGGUACACACGUGCUACAAUGGCGCAUACAAAGAGAAGCGACCUCCUGAGAGCAAGCGGACCUCAUAAAGUGCGUCGUAGUCCGGAUGGGAGUAUUCAACUAGACUCCAUGAAGUAGGAAUCGUUAGUAAUUGUAAAUCAGAAUGUUACGGUGAA